AAUCAAGCUUCCUAUUUGAGUUUUGAAAUCAGAGAGAGAGCUCGGGAGGGAGGAGCCGAGAACAGGGGAGGAGAUCGCGAGAGCUAGAGAGCAUGGCUGAGAGAGCUCGCGUGAGAGAGAGUGUGUGAGAGAGCUUGAAGGCCGCUUCCGUGGCUGAUGAAGAAAAACAGUGGCGGCUUGAAGAAACUGCGGCCAUGGCCGCUGUUGCUGGAGCUCGGGGCAAGGUUGGAAGUAGCGAUGGCCGGCCAAUGAGGGCGAAGGUGAUUGGAGAACCAACGGGCGGCCGCGACAAGGUGGCCAGGAGCUUCGCCGAUCGGCCAUGGCAGCAACACGCAGGGGAAACCGACGCUGGCAGCGGGCUCACGACGGUCUGGGGCUGUGCGGUACGGCCAGCGGUGGCUUGGCGGCGAGAAGUUGCUGGGAAGGGCGAGUUGGUGGUCAGCGGCGGCCGGCGUGCGUAGGUGAGCUGCUGUGUACGGGUGCAUGAGAAGAAGAAGAAUAAGAAGGGCGCGCGGGAAAGGAGGAGGAAGAAGAAGAAGUAGUGGAGAAGAAAAGAAUAUAAAAGAAAAAGAAAUAAAAGAAAGAAAAGAAAUAUGGAAAAAUGGGAAAAAUAGGAGAAAAUCUCAAAAAAUUUCAGAAAAAUUGGGGAAAGUUCUAGAAAUUAAUUUGGGGCCCGAGGAGCGUGUUAGAAGCUCAAAAAUGGGAUUUUGGACUUAAAGUGGCAGCUAAAGAGGUAGCGCCGAUGUAGGCAAUUGGUCGAACUUCUUCUCCAGAUUAAUCGAGGUGGAUUUGCGGUAUUCGGCGUAGUUGAGGGCAUUGGUUGAACGCCGAAUGUUAAUGGAGUUGGGUUUGUGUGUGUUUGCAUCUAGGUUCGAUCGGGGAGGCGGUGAUCUUAGAAGAGCUUGAGGUUCAGGCUGGAGUACGUGCCGAGGCAGAGAUGAGGCCUCGAGCCAAGUAAGGGAUGGCUCCAUGUAGAGGUGGCCUUGCAAGCUGCUAAACUGAGAGAAAUGAAUUUGCUGGUUGGAACUUCAUAUUCCGUUCCAGAUGGGCUAGAAAGGAUACUGGUUUACACCAAGGAUUAAUUAAUACAAAAAUCCAAAACUGUAUAUCACAGAGAAUGGCAUGGCAUAUUAGGACAAUCAAAUAAUUGCCAGCAACAUCAAGGAUCCAGAAAGGAUUGAGUUCUACCAUGCCCAUCUUUCAGCUGCUGAAGCAGCUUUUUGGUACAUGAAAUUCUUGGCUCCUUAAUACAAGUUUUAAGAGUUUGAAGAGAAGGAUUGUUGUGUUAUCCCUUUUAUCAAUAAGUGAGGAUGAGCUCUUGGGAGCGCUCACAGUCUAUUGAGUUAGGACUAAUAAAUUGCACGAUUGAGUGUUUUGAUCACUUGAUGGGGCUAUCAGAUUGAGUCUUCCAUCUUGUGUAUCUUCAAAAUAUUUUCAAUAAAUUAAUUUGCAUGAUUAUUUUCAUAGCACUUCUCCAUUUUAUGUGUUGUGCAAUCUUUAGAGGCCAAGCAACACGAAGCUUGAAGUAUUGUAGUAGUGAUUUUUUUUUUUUUCAAUUUUUUUGAGGCCAAUAGGAAUGGUAGAGAUGGAAACAAAAUUACAUCUCUAAAAAUCAGUAAGAGACAAAAUUUUUAGAGGCGGAAAAUUUGUUUGUCUCUAAAAUAAGAGACAAAAUUCAUUUCCACCUCUAAUCUAGUUAGAGACGAAAACGACAUUCUAUCUCUCAACACCAAUUGGAGACAAUUUUUUCGUCUUUAAAUAAUCCAGUCAGAUCAACUAUUCCCUUCCCAUUUGCUGCCAGAACAAUAAUCGAAGCUACUAUAGACCAUAGUGCUACUUGAGGUAUGUAGCUUUUCCAUAAAUGUAAAGAUUUUAAAGUCUUCUGUGAGGGCCCACUUCCAAAAAUCCCUCUAGCUUAGGAAUUCGAGAAGAAGUCCCCACAAAAUUGAUACAUAUACAUUUUAAAAUAAUUGCAUUCCCAAUUUUGUUCACUAACAAUAGGAACCAAAAUAAAUAUUUACAACAUCAGUCAUUCAAUGCAUUCCUUAGGGCUCAACCGCCCUUACAACUCAAAAUAAAAGGGUAAUAAAAUUUAAAUACAAAAUAAAUCGCCUCAUUCACGCCCUCAAAACAAAUCCCCAAGGACUUUUUGAUUGGGACAACUCUGUACACAUACUAUCCCAUUAGGGGUCAAGCUCCACUUCCCUCAACCUCGACUACUACCUUUCCUUUAUCUGAAAUCAUGUAGAAGCAAAGAUAAGCCACAAAGCUCAACAAGUAUAAAAUGAAAUAAAUACGAAGCAUUAUGAACCAUCGACAUGAACAACAAGAAAUGAGUAAGGGAGGACCACCUACCACAUUUGUAAACCAUAUCAUAUUGUAAUACAUACAUGCAUAUAUCCGCAUAUUAUCACACUGUGAAUAUGAGAAUGCAAAUACACGCAUAGGUGCACAUAUACUCACACGGCUCUUGGGGCCCAUUCAACUUAGCUCCACCCAAGGCCUACACACUCAUACAUACACCAUAUGGUCUUUGGGGCCCAUUCAAGAUUUAGCUUUACCCAAAACCAACAUAGUCCUUGGGGCCCAUUUAAGAUUUAGCUCCACCCGAGGCCUUGAAACACAUAGCCAACCAUAAACAAAGUAACCAUAUGCAUAAAGAUUUUCCUACCUCUACUCACACAUGGUGAUACAAUAGCUCAAUAUCAUAGACAUAAAACCCAUUUUAUACACAUAUAAUCAUGCAUCAUUACAAAUUUUGCCUAGUUUACCCUUAUGGAUGAAUUUCUCCUUCCUAGGACUAAAAUCAAAGCUCUAAUCAUCAAUUGGGCUUAACAAUAAUUUAUUUGAAGAAUGGGGAGAAGAAUGAAAAUGUUUUAAAAAGAAAGGAUAGAAAAAAGGGCAAAAUCAGUUGACAGUCACCAAGAAACAAUCAAUCAUUUUUGUGUUUUGGAAGGAAGCGAUAGACGAUUUCUCCCCCCACAGACCACGAACAGUCAAUAGUCUCAGGAAAACGGUUGACACUAAGAACAUCAUCCUCUUGGAUUCCAACGGUCGAUAGCCAUUGCACCAAAACAAUCGACAUGAAUCAAAAAACGAUUGACAUCCUUGCCACAACUGUCGACAGCUAGACACAUUUCUCCAAAAUGGUCGACAGCCUCUGCAUAUAUUGUCAACCGCCCUAUAUCGAGAAGCAACAUGAAGACCACAACCAAGGAAAAAAAAAUGCAUACAAGAACACCAAAUCUUGCAUUGCUCUAACCCUAAUAAAAAAAUGCAACAUUCCUUGAAGAAUGGAGGGUGAUACAAUACCCUAUUGAGACUUUGAAUGAGGACCAUCAAAAAUCUAAGAAGACCCACAAAGCUUACAACCCAAAUAGGAUAAUACACAUUUAUUAGGAAUGGGGGUUUUCAAGAACCAAAACCACAAGGAAAUGGAAGAUUCAAUAGCUCCAAUUGAAGAAGAAAAUAAGGCUUGCUUAUGAAAAGAAGAAGAAAAUGAACUUGCAUAUGGAAAGAAGAGAGAAAACAAAAGGAACUUGCCUUAACUCGGAUAGUUGGACCGAAGAGAAGAUGCAGUCGUUGGAAUUGAAAUCCCUCUUACUUGAAGCUCCAAAAUCAAAAAGAAGAAGGAAGAAAGAAAGGAGAAGAAAUUGGGAGAAGAGCAAGAAGGGGAAGAAAGAGAAAGAAGAUGAAGAAUGGGGGAGGAGUAGCUUGCAUGCCACUUUUCACCAACUCUCUCUUUUUCUUUUUCUUUUUCUUUUUCUUUUAUUCUGCAAUUCAACAUAUACCCACAAAUACACACAUAUUACCCACACACACACAACCAGAAACCCAUUGUGCAAUUGCAACCUUCCUAUUUUGAACUUUCAACCAUCUUAGCUUUUGACUUCUCAACCCUCUUGGUUCUUGACUUUUCCACAAAAUCACAUUCAUUAACCUUGACUUUUCCACAUAAUCUCAUUUACCAAAUUUGACUUUUCAAACAUAAUGCUAUCCUCAUUAUUUUUUGCCUCUUUCACAACAGAUAAAAUAUUUUCAAGACAUUGCUCAAAUAAUAACAUCAUAGAGCCCUAGACCCACUAACAGGUUAUUACAUCUUUUCUCAUUCAAAUGCUAAAUUAAUUAUGUAUUUUUUAUGAUUAUUAUUUAGAAUUGAAGGCCAUGGCUACCCCAAAUCAAUGUAGUAAUGGUUCUAGGUCGCUAAUAUGACAAAAAUAAACUUGUAUGGAAGUAUGUGACUAAAUUGGAAAGAAUAUAAGGAGUGGAAAUUUGUCUUUUACUUGUAAUUACUAUAAUAUCAUAUUCAAGGGGUC
Diospyros lotus (date-plum) is the source of this 4316-nucleotide long non-coding RNA. RefSeq lists it as uncharacterized. The transcript has 4 exons. NCBI's taxonomy places the organism in Eukaryota, Viridiplantae, Streptophyta, Magnoliopsida, Ericales, Ebenaceae. The record is from RefSeq and is a predicted model, not a curated record.